GGUCUAUAUUCCUUUCCAUGUCAAAAAAUUGAAGUGAUAAACCCUAAUUUCCCAUGUGAUUCAGCUUCCAAUGGCCAUUUCAACCGGCCUCGGCAUAUCUCGACUUCCAUCGCUAUCUCUCCGUUAUCCUCUCCGCCACUGUGCUCUUCAGGUUAGGCUUGGCUUUGCUGCUUCGGUUGAAGCAUUUGACGAUACGGAGAACGACAAAGGCACUGAAAAUGCAGCAUUUGAUAAUUUGAGUGGCGGUGAUGGACGUCGAAAGAAUUGGAAAAAGUUGAAGUCUGAAGACCUUGGAGUUAGUACUUCAAAAAUUUCGAGGCCCACAAGAGUGGUUCUUAAUGGUCUUCGAAAAAGAGGCUUUGAAGUAUAUCUUGUUGGAGGAUGUGUAAGGGAUCUAAUAUUGAAACGGGUUCCUAAAGAUUUUGAUGUAAUAACCUCAGCUGAACUUAAAGACGUGAUGAGGACUUUUUCUCGAUGUGAGAUGAUUGGGAGGCGGUUUCCUAUCUGUCAUGUGCACAUUGAUGAUACUAUUGUGGAGGUUUCAAGCUUUAGCACCCGUGCGACAAGGUUUGGGAGGUUCUUGAGUUUGGAACCUGAGAAGCCUGUUGGCUGUGAUGAGCAGGACUAUAUUCGCUGGAGAAACUGCCUUCAGAGGGAUUUCACGAUAAAUGGAUUGAUGUUUGACCCAUAUGCAAAGUUGAUAUAUGACUACACUGGUGGAGUAAAUGACAUCCGGAAAGCUAAAAUCCGGACCAUCAAACCUGCGAAUCUUUCCUUGACCGAGGAUUGUGCACGUAUUCUUCGUGGUGUCAGAAUUGCUGCUCGGUUGGAUUUUAGAUUUUCAAGGGAGACUGCUCUAGCAGUGAGAAAGUUAUCUGCUACAGUUUUAAGGCUCGAUCGGGGAAGGCUUCUCAUGGAAGUCAACUACAUGCUGGCAUAUGGUUCCGCGGAAGCCUCAUUAAGAUCUUUGUGGAAGCUUGGUCUUUUGGAAAUACUUCUGCCUAUUCAGGCGGCCUAUUUUGUCAGAACUGGUUUUCGCAGACGUGACAAGCGCUGUAACAUGCUUUUGUCUUUAUUCUCCAACCUCGAUAAACUUCUUGCCCCUGACAGACCAUGUCACAGUAGCUUAUGGUUUGCUAUUCUAGCAUUUCAUGAAGCACUCUCCGCACAACCAAGGGACCCUCUUGUGGUUGCUGCAUUCAGCCUUGCAGUCCACAAUGGUGGAGACCUAUCAGAAGCUUUAAGCAUUGCUAGACGUAUCAGUAAAAAACAUGAAAUAAGUUUUGAUGAACUAUUGGAACCAAAAUACAUGAAAUCUAGAGAGUUGUUGGAUGAGGUUAAAGAUUUAGCGGCUUCUGUCCAAAGUUCCCUUCGCCAUAUGACAGACGAUUACUUUGUCUCCCAGGCAAUGGCCAAAUAUCCAAAAGCUCCGUAUUCAGAUGUCGUGUUUUUCCCUGUGGCACUUUACUUGAAGGUUUGCAAGAUGUUUGAAUGUGUUGGAGGUGGGGCGGAGCAGGGAUUUGUACCCAAAAAUGGUAGUAAGAUCGACUAUGAGUUGUUAGCUAUGGGAAGUCUAAAGGAAGUUAGACACACAUUUGCAAGAGUAGUAUUUGAUACCAUAUACCCAAUUGAUAAGUACAUAGAUGACUAACCUAGACCCAAAAAUGAGUGAAGAGUAAGCAACAGUAGCACAUCAAAUAGCCCGACACAACAAGGAAGUUGUUGAAUAUCUGCAUUUGAGGAUUGUGACGCAACAAAAGGCUAUCCUGAUCCUGGUUCGGGUGUUCAUUAAUUGGGUUCCGAGUUCCUUUUAUAGAAGCAGCAAUAAUCAAGGUUGCCUGCUUGUAAGUGCCAAAAUUAUUCAGAAUCUAUCUAUCCAUCCAUCUACUACUACUACUACUCGG
Non-coding RNA from Salvia hispanica, 1904 nucleotides. NCBI's taxonomy places the organism in Eukaryota, Viridiplantae, Streptophyta, Magnoliopsida, Lamiales, Lamiaceae. The record is from RefSeq and is a predicted model, not a curated record.